RNAcentral lists this transfer RNA (72 nucleotides) under Camelus bactrianus (Bactrian camel). It matches the Rfam family "tRNA". From Rfam's summary of the family: Transfer RNA (tRNA) molecules are approximately 80 nucleotides in length. Their secondary structure includes four short double-helical elements and three loops (D, anti-codon, and T loops). Lineage: Eukaryota; Metazoa; Chordata; Mammalia; Artiodactyla; Camelidae. The record is from Rfam by way of RNAcentral. RNAcentral also lists the same sequence under 2 other names.
GUGGGUGUAGCUCAAUAGGAAAGAGCAUGCCUAGCAUGCACAAGGUCCUGGGUUCGAUCCCCAGUACCUCCA